CCUACGGGUGGCAGCAGUGAGGAAUAUUGGUCAAUGGGCGAGAGCCUGAACCAGCCAAGUCGCGUGAGGGAGUACUGCCCUAUGGGUUGUAAACCUCUUUUGUCGGGGAGCAAAAGCCGGACGUGUCCGGCUGUGAGAGUACCCGAAGAAAAAGCAUCGGCUAACUCCGUGCCAGCAGCCGCGGGAAUACGGAGGAUGCGAGCGUUAUCCGGAUGUAUUGGGUUUAAAGGGUGCGCAGGCGGAUUUUUAAGUCAGCGGUAAAAUCGUGGGGCUCAACCCCAUCCAGCCGGUGAAACUGGGGAUCUAGAGUGUGCGAGAGGUAUGCGGAAUGCGUGGUGUAGCGGUGAAAUGCAUAGAUAUCACGCAGAACCCCGAUUGCGAAGGCAGCAUACCGGUGCACAACUGACGCUCAGGCACGAAAGCGUGGGUAUCGAACAGGAUUAGAUACCCCUGUAGUC
Molecule: ribosomal RNA, 458 nt
Filed under: uncultured bacterium
Lineage: Bacteria
Description: partial 16S ribosomal RNA
Rfam family: Bacterial small subunit ribosomal RNA
Source: RNAcentral